Molecule: ribosomal RNA, 465 nt
Filed under: Vreelandella stevensii
Lineage: Bacteria; Pseudomonadati; Pseudomonadota; Gammaproteobacteria; Oceanospirillales; Halomonadaceae
Description: partial 16S ribosomal RNA
Rfam family: Bacterial small subunit ribosomal RNA
Source: RNAcentral
CCUACGGGCGGCAGCAGUGGGGAAUAUUGGACAAUGGGGGGAACCCUGAUCCAGCCAUGCCGCGUGUGUGAAGAAGGCCCUCGGGUUGUAAAGCACUUUCAGUGAGGAAGAACGCCUGGUGGUUAAUACCCAUCAGGAAAGACAUCACUCACAGAAGAAGCACCGGCUAACUCCGUGCCAGCAGCCGCGGUAAUACGGAGGGUGCGAGCGUUAAUCGGAAUUACUGGGCGUAAAGGGCGCGUAGGUGGCUUGAUAAGCCGGUUGUGAAAGCCCCGGGCUCAACCUGGGAACGGCAUCCGGAACUGUCAAGCUAGAGUGCAGGAGAGGAAGGUAGAAUUCCCGGUGUAGCGGUGAAAUGCGUAGAGAUCGGGAGGAAUACCAGUGGCGAAGGCGGCCUUCUGGACUGACGCUGACACUGAGGUGCGAAAGCGUGGGUAGCAAACAGGAUUAGAUACCCUGGUAGUC